This 941-nucleotide ribosomal RNA is filed under the name Ochrolechia parella. RNAcentral describes it as "mitochondrial SSU rRNA". It matches the Rfam family "Bacterial small subunit ribosomal RNA", at positions 373 to 1263 of the family's 1533-position model. Lineage: Eukaryota; Fungi; Ascomycota; Lecanoromycetes; Pertusariales; Ochrolechiaceae. The record is from RNAcentral.
UAGCGAAAGCUAGUUGCAUUAACUAACUGUUAAUGCAGAAGCGACUAUGUCGUGUUCGGUUCAGGGUAGAGUGAUGAUAAUGACAUUUUCUAUCUGUGUGUCUCGACCAAACUACGUGCCAACAGUCGCGAUAAUACGUUGAAGACUAGUGUUAUUCGUCUUUAGUAGGUUUAAAGGGUACCUAGACGGUCAUUUCAGCCCCUAAAGGGUACUGUUUGUACUAGAGUUUUAUGAGAGGGGGGCUGUACUAAUGGUGUAGAGAUGACAUUCAGUCAUACCAUUACGAACAGGCAACAGCGAAGGCAACCCUUUAUGUGUAAACUGACGUUGAAGGACGAAGGCUUAGUCAACCAACAGGAUUAGAUACCCUAGCAGUCUGAGCAGACAAUGAUGAAUGCCAUAGACUGGAUAUAAAUAGAGGAAGAGGAACAAGGUGAGAGGUCUUUUUUGUUACAAAAAACAUAAAUUGUAUGUCACUUCCUUAAAAAGUGACAAAUAAUUCUUUUCCGCCUUGGUUUACCCAUUUUUUUUUUUUAGAAAAAAUAGAAAAAGAUUCUAUUUUCCACUACUUGUCUAUAAAUGAAAGUGUAAGCAUUCCACCUCAAGAGUAACGUGGCAACGCGGAAACUGAAAUCAUUAGACCGUUUCUGAAACCAGUAGUGAAGUAUGUUGUUUAAUUCGAUAAUCCGCGGUACACCUUACCACAAUUUGUAUGUUUAGUAAUAAAUACAAGAGUUGCACGGCUGUCUUCAGUUAAUGUCGUGAGAUUUUGGUUAGUUCCAUUAAAUUAACGUAAACCCUUACUUUAUUUUAGUAAAUAGAGUAGUUCACCGCUAUAUUGGAUCUGAUAAAAGGGACUAAGACAAGUCAUCAUGGCCCGAAUAUUGUGGGCUAUAGACGUGCCACAUACGCCUAUACAAAGGGAUGCGAAAUUGUGAAAU